UACAGAGGUGGCAAGCGUUGUUCGGAAUUACUGGGCGUAAAGGGCGUGUAGGCGGCCUUCUAAGUCAGACGUGAAAUCCCCUGGCUUAACCUGGGAACUGCGUCUGAUACUGGGAGGCUAGAGUAUGGGAGAGGAAGGUAGAAUUCCAGGUGUAGCGGUGAAAUGCGUAGAUAUCUGGAGGAAUACCGGUGGCGAAGGCGGCCUUCUGGACCAUAACUGACGCUGAUCCGCGAAAGCUAGGGGAGCAAACGGG
Molecule: ribosomal RNA, 253 nt
Filed under: uncultured bacterium
Lineage: Bacteria
Description: partial 16S ribosomal RNA
Rfam family: Bacterial small subunit ribosomal RNA
Source: RNAcentral